This 460-nucleotide ribosomal RNA is filed under the name uncultured bacterium. RNAcentral describes it as "partial 16S ribosomal RNA". It matches the Rfam family "Bacterial small subunit ribosomal RNA", at positions 338 to 795 of the family's 1533-position model. The record is from RNAcentral.
CCUACGGGAGGCAGCAGUGAGGAAUAUUGGUCAAUGGGCGUAAGCCUGAACCAGCCAAGUCGCGUGAGGGAUGAAGGUUCUAUGGAUCGUAAACCUCUUUUAUAAGGGAAUAAAGUGUGGGACGUGUCCUGUUUUGUAUGUACCUUAUGAAUAAGGAUCGGCUAACUCCGUGCCAGCAGCCGCGGUAAUACGGAGGAUCCGAGCGUUAUCCGGAUUUAUUGGGUUUAAAGGGUUCGUCGGCGGCCUUUUAAGUCAGCGGUGAAAGUCUGUGGCUCAACCAUAGAAUUGCCGUUGAAACUGGGAGGCUUGAGUGUGUUUGAGGCAGGCGGAAUGCGUGGUGUAGCGGUGAAAUGCUUAGAUAUCACGCAGAACCCCGAUUGCGAAGGCAGCCUGCCAAGCCAUGACUGACGCUGAUGCACGAAAGCGUGGGGAUCAAACAGGAUUAGAUACCCUGGUAGUC